This 395-nucleotide ribosomal RNA is filed under the name uncultured bacterium. RNAcentral's name for it is "partial 16S ribosomal RNA". It matches the Rfam family "Bacterial small subunit ribosomal RNA", at positions 523 to 918 of the family's 1533-position model. The record is from RNAcentral.
AUACGUAGGGUGCAAGCGUUAAUCGGAAUUACUGGGCGUAAAGCGUGCGCAGGCGGUUUUGUAAGACAGUGGUGAAAUCCCCGGGCUCCACCUGGGAACUGCCAUUGUGACUGCAAGGCUGGAGUGCGGCAGAGGGGGAUGGAAUUCCGCGUGUAGGCGUGAAAUGCGUAGAUAUGCGGAGGAACACCGAUGGCGAAGGCAAUCCCCUGGGCCUGCACUGACGCUCAUGCACGAAAGCGUGGGGAGCAAACAGGAUUAGAUACCCUGGUAGUCCACGCCCUAAACGAUGUCAACUGGUUGUUGGGGAUUUAUUUUCUCAGUAACGAAGCUAACGCGUGAAGUUGACCGCCUGGGGAGUACGGCCGCAAGGUUAAAACUCAAAUGAAUUGACGGGG